This 497-nucleotide ribosomal RNA is filed under the name uncultured bacterium. RNAcentral describes it as "partial 16S ribosomal RNA". It matches the Rfam family "Bacterial small subunit ribosomal RNA", at positions 28 to 507 of the family's 1533-position model. The record is from RNAcentral.
GAUGAACGCUGGCGGCGUGCCUAAUACAUGCAAGUCGAGCGAACGGACGAGAAGCUUGCUUCUCUGAUGUUAGCGGCGGACGGGUGAGUAACACGUGGAUAACCUACCUAUAAGACUGGGAUAACUUCGGGAAACCGGAGCUAAUACCGGAUAAUAUUUUGAACCGCAUUGUUCAAAAGUGAAAGACGUUCUUGCUGUCACUUAUAGAUUGAUCCGCGCUGCAUUAGCUAGUUGGUAAGGUAACGGCUUACCAAGGCAACGAUGCAUAGCCGACCUGAGAGGGUGAUCUGCCACACUGGAACUGAGAAACGGUCCAGACUCCUACGGGAGGCAGCAGUAGGGAAUCUUCCGCAAUGGGCGAAAGCCUGACGGAGCAACGCCGCGUGAGUGAUGAAGGUCUUCGGAUCGUAAAACUAUGUUAUUAGGGAAGAACAUAUGUGUAAGUAACUGUGCACAUCUUGACGGUACCUAAUCAGAAAGCCACGGCUAACUACGUG